RNAcentral lists this ribosomal RNA (104 nucleotides) under Castor canadensis (American beaver). Lineage: Eukaryota; Metazoa; Chordata; Mammalia; Rodentia; Castoridae. The record is from RNAcentral.
GUCUACAGCCAUACCUUCAGUAUGCCCAAUCUCAUCUGAUCUCAGAAGAUAAGCAGGGUUGGGCCUAAUUAGUACUUGGAUGGAAGAAAGAUCUUCAGAGGACA